This 377-nucleotide ribosomal RNA is filed under the name uncultured eukaryote. RNAcentral describes it as "partial 18S ribosomal RNA". It matches the Rfam family "Eukaryotic small subunit ribosomal RNA", at positions 592 to 976 of the family's 1831-position model. The record is from RNAcentral.
CAAUAGCGUAUAUUAAAGUUGUUGCAGUUAAAAAGCUCGUAGUUGGAUUUCGGGGCAGCCUGGCUGGUCCGCCGCAAGGCGAGUACUGGUCAGCCGCCCUUCCUCUCGAAAGCCCCGACUGCUCUUCAUUGCAGUGGUCGGGUAGUUCGGGACGUUUACUUUGAAAAAAUUAGAGUGUUCAAGGCAGGCCUACGCCUGAAUACAUUAGCAUGGAAUAAUGGAAGAGGACCUCGGUCCUAUUUUGUUGGUUUCCAGGGCCGAAGUAAUGAUUAAGAGGGACAGUUGGGGGCAUUCGUAUUUAAUUGUCAGAGGUGAAAUUCUCGGAUUUGUGAAAGACGAACAACUGCGAAAGCAUUUGCCAAGGAUGUUUUCAUUAA